RNAcentral lists this long non-coding RNA (1039 nucleotides) under Manihot esculenta (cassava). Its description in RNAcentral is "long non-coding RNA (MESC_LNC003689)". Lineage: Eukaryota; Viridiplantae; Streptophyta; Magnoliopsida; Malpighiales; Euphorbiaceae. The record is from RNAcentral.
UCCCACCCACUUCCUUUCUCUUGGUAAUAGAUAAGAUAAUCAACUUCAAAGUCUUUAAGUUACUGUUGUUACAUACGUAUUCCUAUAUAAUUAUGAAAGUAUAAUAACUUCAUUUAAUUAUAAAUUCACUCUAUUUCAUUGCGAUUAAUCGUGUUGACGAUUACCUGAACCAUUUCUAUAAUCGAAAGUUUACCGUUUUAUUUAAAUUUUUAAAUUUAAUAAGAUAUUUAUAAAAAAAAAAAAAAUCAUCUCAUAACUGAACUAGAAAACUUGCUAUAAUGCUUAAGCAUGCUAUGAAUUUAAACUUUAAUGGAAAGCAAUUAUAUGAAUAAAUAAUUUUAUUUAUAUAAUUAUAAGGGAAAUAAAUCACAAUAAUCAAUAAUUCACAUAAAGUUAAAAUACAUUUUAAACAAACGACAAAGACCAAAUCCAAACUAAUAACAAAUUCCAAACCAAACUUGAAAUUACUAAAAAUUGAAAAAUCAAGAUAGGAUAAUGAGUAAUAAAGCAAAGAAAAUAUGCCAACAACAAAUUCUAUCUACAAGAUUUCACUCUUCCAUCAAAAGAUUGCACAUCUGGAUUUUGCCUAAAUCCAAUAAAAACAGAAAAAUAUACUCUUAAUUAAUCCACACAAUACAAAACAUUAAAAUUAAGAAUUUAAUUAAUCAAAAUCUUUAAAAAGAUGAGCCAAAUAAAUCUGUAUCUAAAUAAACAUAACUGCAUCAAUCAAUCAUAUUUCACAAUAUAAAAUAUUAAUCUAAUGCACAAUAUAAAAGCCAAUCUUAAAGAUGGAAGACUUUGCAUGGCUAGCGAUCUGCAGCAUGCAUAGACAAUGGAGAUUCAAUCAGUUGAAAAGAAGAAGAAAAUGAGAAGAUGAGGAUUGGUAAUUUUAAGUAAAGAAUUGAGGAUUUUGUUUGGUACGACAGGGAGAGAGAGAGAGAGUAGCUGAAUACAAUAGUAGAGAUGAAUCUACUAUAUUUUGUUAAAAUAAAAUAAAAUAAAAUAAAAAGAGCAAGAAGUUGGAAGCUGCGUUGGGAUU